UGGCAGUGGUGCGUGGAUUUCUUCACCUGAAAUCGCUGUGAAGAGUGAAACCGAGCUUUUUAACCCUGAGUCCAU
Molecule: small nucleolar RNA, 75 nt
Organism: Camelus dromedarius (Arabian camel)
Lineage: Eukaryota; Metazoa; Chordata; Mammalia; Artiodactyla; Camelidae
Source: Ensembl